This is a long non-coding RNA of Trifolium pratense (red clover), 1358 nucleotides long. RefSeq lists it as uncharacterized. The transcript has 5 exons. NCBI's taxonomy places the organism in Eukaryota, Viridiplantae, Streptophyta, Magnoliopsida, Fabales, Fabaceae. The record is from RefSeq and is a predicted model, not a curated record.
AUGCAAAAUCAGAUAGUUAGAUUGAAAACUAAAUUUGAUAUUUUGAAAGUAAACAAAAAUCUAAUUAAACGUAAAAUCUUAACUGUCAAAUCUUGAUCGGACAUUCGAUAUAUACUGACUGCAUGGAGUUUGAUGGACGGGAUUGAUUCCCAAAAUUCAAUUUUUUUUGACAAAAAUCUUUAAAAAUAUGUAACAUUUUUAUUUGCCUCAUUUUUUUCAAUUCCACUUUCCCUCUUCUUCAAUUCCACUUUCCCUCUUCUAUAAAAAUUGAAGCGCGUGUUUUAUUUUUCUUCCCCCUUCUUUUUUAGUUUCUUUAAUUUCCCCAAAUUGAAACUAAUCUCACUGAAACUUACCUCUCAAAUUUUUUCCUCUUCUCUCUGUUAAAACCCCAAAUCUUUUAUUUUAAUUUUAUUAGGGUUUGAACUAUUGUUGUAUUCUAAAGUAUUGCAAGAUUAAACAUCUUGUGAAGGAAAGGAUGUGGAACUACUCUUUCUUUUUAGGGUUUCGAUUCAACAAUUUAGUUUUUUCUUUUCUAUCGAUCGAGGUUUAGCAUUUGAAUUAGGGAUUUGCUUUUUCAAAUGGAGGACAGUGAACUUGAUUUCUCACCGCUGGGUUUGCGUUCAUCUUCCUCUCGUCGUUGGGUUUGCAUUCAUAUCUCUCGUCUUUGGGUUUACAUUCAGCUUCUUUCACCAGUGAUUAUAUGCAGGUCAUGUUAGAAGGCUUAAAUAGUCAAGAGUUAGAGAGAAGGGAACCAAGGUAUUUUCAAGGGUGAUUAAUAGAGGAAGGAAGGAAUAAGAAGCAAGGAUCUAGGAGUUCAUUUCAAUUUUCCAUCUAUUUCGUUUGAGGGGCUGGUGUUAUUCUUUGCAUUGAAAAGGCAAUAGCUAAUUCUUGUGUUUCAAGGGAGGAUUUGAACUAGAUAAAUGCACGUGCCACAACCACACCUGCUGAAGAUCUUAAGGAGUACCAUGUUUUGAUUCAUUGUUUUGGCCAAAAUCCUAAGGAGAUUCAUCCAAGUGGUGAGGAAGGUCAUGUAAUGUUAAUUUAUAAGGGACACAUUUGGAUUAGAAUCUCAAGCUUCCACUAUCAAAGAAUCUUUGAAAUCAUGGCCUUCAAUUUCUAUUGACGUGGUAUCUACAUAUAAAGUUGCUGCUAAGGAGGCUAAGAUUGAAGCAUUAACCGUUGAUGGGUGAUGAAGUUUAGCUUUCUUUGAAGUAUUUUUGUUAAAUCAAUUAUAUGUAUUUUUGUGUAGUUGACAACUUUAAGUUUGAUAUUGUUUAGUGUCAUAGUGGUGCACUUGAUUGUUACUUUGUAAGAAUGACAUAUAUAUUUGGUGUCAAUCCAAAAUUGAUUUUCUCAUA